This 491-nucleotide long non-coding RNA is filed under the name Helianthus annuus (common sunflower). RNAcentral's name for it is "sRNA HanXRQr2_Chr03g0088031". Lineage: Eukaryota; Viridiplantae; Streptophyta; Magnoliopsida; Asterales; Asteraceae. The record is from RNAcentral.
UGCAUCAUCUUCAUCAUCUGCUCCGAUCCAUUAAAAAAAUCCACUGCAUCAUCUUCAUCACCAUCAUCAUCUUCAUCACAAACCCACACCCAAGCUCAGCAAAGUUAAACGCCAGCUGUCGGUGGCCUGUGGCACCUCACUCACAUACCCUCCUUCUCUGUUAUACUCUCUCUCUCAUCCCAUCGUCACUUGUCUCCUAAGCAAUCCAUCAAAUGCGUUGAGACCAACAGCAGAUCUCUUCCCCUGUAUCUUCCCACACUUGUAGCUAUUGUGAUUUGAACUUUUGAUUGGGAUUUGGAGUUAGGGAGGUAGAUCUGCUUUGCAGUAAGAGUCGCAUUGUUACGGCGAAGAUGGCGGCGACUGUUGGUUGGGUGUAUUCUUCCGGCAGUAGUCAUGCCAAUAAUGAUUUGUGGGUUUUUUAAUGGAUCGGAGCAGAUGAUGAAGAUGAUGUAGAUGAUAAUGGUGAUGAAGAUGAUGAUGAUGAUGGUGAU